ACGGGGUGCAGCAGGCGCGAAAAUUCCACAAUGCACGAAAGUGUGAUGGAGGGAUUCAGAGUGCCUCUUUCUUUUUGGAAGGGGCUUUUGUCGAGUCUAAACCGCUCGUUGAAUAAGCGGUGGGUAAGACAGGUGCCAGCCGCCGCGGUAAUACCUGCGCCGCGAGUGGUGACCUCGUUUAUUGGGUUUAAAAGGACCGUAGCCGGUUUGGUAAGUUCCUAAUGAAAUUCCAUGGAUGACUACGGAGCUUGUUGGGGAUACUACCAAGCUAAAGACCGGGAGAGGCCAAGGGUAUUUCGGGGGUAAGGGUUAAAUCUUGUAAUCCUCGGAGGACCGCCUGUGGCGAAGGCGCUUGGCUAGAACGGAUCUGACGGUGAGGGUCGAAAGCUAGGGGAGCAAAGGGGAUUAGAUACCCCCGUAGUCCUAGCUGUAAACGAUACCCACUAGAUGUUGGAUGUCUCACGAGGGCAUCCAGUUUCGUAGGGAAACCGUUAAGUGGGUCGCCUGGGGAGUACGUUCGCAAGGAUGAAACUUAAAGGAAUUGGCGGGGGAGCAC
RNAcentral lists this ribosomal RNA (556 nucleotides) under uncultured euryarchaeote. RNAcentral's name for it is "bacterial SSU rRNA". It matches the Rfam family "Archaeal small subunit ribosomal RNA", at positions 325 to 879 of the family's 1478-position model. Lineage: Archaea; Methanobacteriati; Methanobacteriota. The record is from RNAcentral.